RNAcentral lists this ribosomal RNA (435 nucleotides) under uncultured bacterium. RNAcentral describes it as "partial 16S ribosomal RNA". It matches the Rfam family "Bacterial small subunit ribosomal RNA", at positions 29 to 507 of the family's 1533-position model. The record is from RNAcentral.
AGCGAACGCUGGCGGCAGGCUUAACACAUGCAAGUCGAGCGGGCACUUUCGGGUGUCCGCGGCGGACGGGUGAGUAACGCGUGGGAACGUGCCCUCUGGUUCGGAAUAACUCAGGGAAACUUGAGCUAAUACCGGAUACGCCCUUUUGGGGAAAGGCUUGCUGCCGGAGGAUCGGCCCGCGUCUGAUUAGCUAGUUGGUGAGGUAACGGCUCACCAAGGCGACGAUCAGUAGCUGGUCUGAGAGGAUGGUCAGCCACACUGGGACUGAGACACGGCCCAGACUCCUACGGGAGGCAGCAGUGGGGAAUAUUGGACAAUGGGCGCAAGCCUGAUCCAGCCAUGCCGCGUGAGUGAUGAAGGCCUUAGGGUUGUAAAGCUCUUUUAUCCGGGACGAUAAUGACGGUACCGGAGGAAUAAGCCCCGGCUAACUUCGUG